Long non-coding RNA from Coturnix japonica (Japanese quail), 4686 nucleotides. RefSeq lists it as uncharacterized. NCBI's taxonomy places the organism in Eukaryota, Metazoa, Chordata, Aves, Galliformes, Phasianidae. The record is from RefSeq and is a predicted model, not a curated record.
GUUUUAAAACCCAGAAGCUGGGAACACCGCUUUAUCAAAGAGAAUUUCCCUUUAGCUUAGCCAUGUGUCGGAAUGGCUCUCGCAAAGAUCGGAUCGGAGAGGGGGGAAAAAAAAGAGCGAAACCUUCAUCCCGGAGCGAUCCUGCACACACUUUGCAGCCGCAUUUCGCCUUCAGCCUUAGGAAAAGUUGCCCUCCUCCCCCCCAAAUAACAAACCCAAACAAGUGACAGCUGUAGGAACUGUUGGUUUUAUUUUUUUUAAUUAUUAUUUUAUUUUUUUUAAUUAACUAUUUUUGAGAGGGGAAAAAGAAAAUAAACCAAGCAAACAAACAAAACAACCAAAGCGACCAAACCCCUUUCCGACCUCCUGCGCUCCGUUCGGAUAGCAGCUCCGGGCAGGUAUACAGAGCCGCACUAACUCGGGCUCAACGGGGAGCGACUUUUGUGCUCAGAGAACCCCCAGAUCAGCUCCCGGGAUGGAAAGGAACUGUAACUUCUGCUGCUCAGGUCUGUGGGAAGCUGGUCCCUCUUUGAAUAUCUGGACUGGUGUGCACCUGCAUUCGUUGGAAGAGGAACCCCAUGUGGAAAACCAAGGCCAGAGCUAAUGGCAGGACUCAACUCCUCUUCAUCCCUGAUGUGCUGGCCCAGCUCCAAGAUGAUGCUAAGGUAGCAGCUCAUACAACUCUUCUGGCUUUGGAAGGGAGCUUGGGGCUCCCCAGAUCCUUCUUCUUAAUGGGUUGGCCCCAGUCUCAUCACUUACAUGGAGGUUUGCUUUCAGUUGGGUUUUGCUGGAAGCUGAAGAGCAUGAAGUUCAGUAAGAAGAGCCACAUCCAAUGUUUCAGUGAGGGACUUCAGGAAUCAUCAUUUUUUCCUUAAAAAUGACAUACCUUGAUUCCUCUGGCCACCCUGGGUUGCCUCCCACGCAGCCACCAAAGAGUAAUUUUUUGUGAUCUAAGAAUAUCCCACUAGGCUUUCUAUUUUGCACUGUAAAUAAGUGGUUGCUUUUAAGUCACUCCCUUUCAUAAUUUCACACACUCUUUGGUGCAUCAGAGCAUAAUAAAGAAGAUCAUAAGCCACAGUGCCUGAUGUGGCUGCUUUACACGUCUGCUCAAGACAGCCCUCACCAAAAUCCUUCCUUUGAAGUCAAGAGAAGAUCCACAUGGACAAUAGAUCCCCACUAUGUACGUGACCCAGCACUCAUCAAAUAGAGUAACACGCUACAGAUUAUUCUGCCCAAAUAUAUCUUGGACCCUAUGCAUUUUUUUUUCUUAGCUCCAUGGUGUUCAAGUCACACAACCCCCAAGUAUACAUGGAAUUUACCAUGCUCUCUGCACUGAACUUCACAUCUACGGUUGGGUUGGCAACCACCUCCCAGGAUGAGCUCUGGACCCCUGGAAACAUCAGUACAGCUGCAUUUGGGAGCUAAAGUUAAAAUUUUCCACUUUCAGUAAUAAAGCAUGUGGCAUGAUUUCCAUCCAACACGAAACCUGCGUGCAAUCCCGCGUACUGGCAGGACCACCAGUGGGAACUGAACUGGGUGAAGAAAGAAACCAUUUUUCCUACAUUUACCAUUUUAAUUGACUUCUCCUUUUAUUUGUUCCCCUUUGGUGCCCUCUGACUACAAACGUUCAAGUGGCUGUAGUAGCCCCCAGGAAAAAAAAAUAGUUGUGCUAAAUGAGAUUUUUUUUAUGUGUGGGUGUUUAAGUAUCUGCAUGAAGCAAAUUUCUACCCUCUUCUAAUCAGAAUGGGAAGGAGACCAUGUGAAUGAUGUGACCAAUUAUGACCGAGCACCCCAGAGCAGCGUCUGAAUAUUCACGUCCAAUUGCUACUUUGGUGGAACAAUUGGUUUGAACAGUUUGAAAAGGCAAUGAUGUCAAACGUGCAGCGUGAUUAAACACGGUGAAAUUACCAGCCGUUGCACUGAAAGAGGAGCUCUGUUCACUUCCCAGAGUGAUGCUGCUUUCGAAUUUUGCUCUGAUGGGAGCAGGAAACACCAUGCCCAGGUGGCUUUAUCCUACAGUGCCAAACUGCUCGGUGCAGAGGUGCAGCUGAGCUUUGGAGGUAGCAUGGACUGGGAUUUGGGAUGCGCGCAGAAAGCUGAAUGCGUCCUCUUUACCCUGACCCUAACAUAGGCACAAUCCUGUUCUGCCGGUAGUUCACUUUGCAAGAACACCACACUGUAUAUGGGAUCUGAAUCGAUGCUUUUUGGGGCCAAGUAUCUGGGUGCUGAACCAUCCCAACAAAAAGGCAAACGCUCUGCCUUCCCCACUGAUACCAGGUGGGAGCUCUGCUGCUUUCUGUGGACGUGGUACCAUUGCCUGUCUCACACCUAUCUCUGCAUCAUUGAAACUGCCUAUGCCCUUCUAAAGAAUAGACCAUUAAUUCCCCCCUCCAGCUCUCUCUUGUUUUAAAAAUGCAUAUACCACAGCACGCUGUAGUUCAGUACUAACUCCAGCUUUCUGAUAAUGCUGGUUCAGGCAUAAGGAGAAAUAGUAUUUUUUUUUUGUUGCAGUGCACGGAGCAGUGUGCAGUUCCCAGAUGGCAGAAGGGAGCCAUGAACACACACGGGGAGCAUAAAGUAAUGCAUCCUCAGCUUCAUGCCUUGUGCUGAGCCCCUGUCAGAGAGCGUGGGCGCUGAGACCCUAUGCCUCUGGCUGCUCCAUUUGGGGCCAGCUCUAAAAACAAUCGCCCUCCUCCUGCUCCCCAUCAGGGAAGGUAAUUGCACACGCUUGGGUAUGAAAAAAAAAAGAUGUUUUUUUUAACACAUUUGUGCAAAAUGCUUCUUAAACAUGAUGCUCGAGCCUUACGGGAGCAAACAGCCCUUAUAAAUCCUCCCUGAAACUGGGAAACUUUUUCUUUCUCUUUCUUCUCAUUUCCUACCCAGAGGUCUGAGCUAAUUUUCCCUAUCCAUUGGGUCCCCCCACCCCCUCAAAAAAAAAAGGAGGGGGGAGACUGUAUUCACUAAUUAUACAUCCUGAAAAGAAUUUGGUUCAGUGUAAGAUGAUCCUAGUGAUAUGCUAAUCCUUUUUUCUGCUUGGUGCAGCCUGAAGCCUGUGUCUAACAUUUUUUUCAACUGUAUGACAAUAAAAGUUGUGGCAACAAAAGAAAUAAAUGGGCAGCUAAAGAAGGUAUAGCUGAAACACAUGGCAGACCAGUUCUCUCCUCUCCUUCUGGCUGCUCUUUUGUAGGCUCUGGUUGGGUAUCCUCAAGUCAAUAGCCGAAAGCCAGCCACCUUAGCAACUUAGUAUGACACCCAAGCCCUCUCUCUUUACAUUCAUGAAUAGUCAGCAAGCAGCAGACAAAAUAGAACUAAUCUUUUUUGACAGAAUUGUUCAAUUUUAGAGGAAAGGCUUUUGAGGCACCUUCCAUACAUUUGCAGAAUAUGAGACAACAAUGGCCACGAUCACGGUUCACAAAAGGACGACCAGGGGUGUGAGCGCGCACACACGCACACAACGGCCAUUUCGGGUGGAAUAUUGCAGCCAAAUUGAAGUUAUUGCAGGAUACGGUCAUUGUGUCAGGGGAAACUGACAGGCAAGAAAAAAUAAACAUAGCAAAAAAACCAAAAACAACCCACCCCAACCAAACCCCUCCAUUGUUUUGUUGCUGAUUAUUAAACAUACACAUCCCGAUAAUACACGAUUAGGGUUAUUUGUCUUGAUUAAUAGAAGUUAAGAGAGCUGAUUAAUAUCCACUCUUUAAUUUCCUGUCAUAGGCUGAUAACUUCAUCUUUUUCUUCUUUUUUUUUUUUUUUUUUUCUUUUUUGGGCCAAUGAUUCUUAUUGUGAAAUGUGUUCAAUCCAGCGGGUCCUUGCCUGCAUUUAAAGCUGGUUUUGCCAUUUCGAAAUCCUGUAACACAGCAGCCACUCGUGAGCCUGGUGUGUGCAGAGGAGGACAUUCCUCCUUUUCCCUUCUCUCCCCUCCAUUUAAUGCAAGCCAUAUCUCUAUCUCCAAAUACAGUCUGAGCAGGAAAGAGGAGAAAAUAAUAAUAAUAAGAGGAAGAAUAAAAAAUCUACCCAGUCUAUGGGCAAAAACAGAAGUUAGCAACAUGGUCCAUGCAGCUGCAACACUACAUUUAAAAUUCAGUUUACUCCUAGGAAGAGGGCUAAUCCUGCCCCUGUAAUUCCCUACAGCCAAAAUGUACCCCCCUCCCUGAGUGACAGUGCAAUGCAAAGACACUCGCACGCUUAUCUUCCCCAACCAGAUGGCCGACUUGGAUCAAUGCACACACGCCACGAUCAAUGGGAGCGAUAAAGAAUUAGGAAAACAGUGGUACAUGCUCCCAGAAAGCUUGUACACUGCAUAAUUAUUUUAUGAUUCUACACAUGGCUACAUGUGAUACUGGAGUCAAGAAGGAAAAGGAUAAUUAGAGAGCCAGAAAGCACCCGUACUGCACUACACACUUUGUCAGUCAGCAGUUCCCACUCGGCUCAAGUCACCGCCGUUAUCUUCCCUCCUGCCCUCUUGCAAACAAAUUUCAGGAAUACGUAAAAUAUUAGGGGGAGGUGGCUUCUGGGUUACAGACACAGGAUGUGGGAGAUUGCCAUGUCCUGUGAUACGACAGCAAAAGUUUUUGGCUCGGAGUCGGGGUUGGCUGUGGGCACUGGGGCGGAAUCUGAGGGGACACUGCAAUGGAUGGUUUAUUCAUUCGAGGGCUUUGUCAUGAGAGGGUCAUGUCCAAAGCUGAA